This 163-nucleotide unclassified non-coding RNA is filed under the name soil metagenome. RNAcentral's name for it is "partial internal transcribed spacer 1". The record is from RNAcentral.
CCGAGUUUACAACUCUCCAAACUCCAUGUGAACAUACCUAUCGUUGCUUCGGCGGAUCGCCCCUGGGCGCCUUGCGUGCCACCGGAUCCACGGCGGACCGCCCGGGGGACCUUAACUCUUGUUUCUACUGAGAAUCUUCUGAGUCGUUUUUACAAAUAAAUAA